AGCAGGUUACUCUGGAUUAUCCCCGGAACAAAUACCCCUGCAGUCCUAUCACUUCCUCCGGGCUCGACGCUGGCAGUGCCUCAGUGACCAGUCAAGCAUUUCCCGCUGUGGUUUCGUGGAGGCGCCUGGAUGAUUUGAAUCGUUUAUGUUGUAUUUGCUUUCUACGUUGUCUGUGCUUGGAAAUGGCUGGAGAGGACGCUGUGCAGCCGCUGAUGUUCCUGCUGAUGUACAUGCUCCUAAAACGCAGGAAGGAUUUAAACACCGCCGAUGCGCAGAGACGCAGUGAGAUCCAGCGCCGAGUCCGGCACAGACAGUACUUCUUUCAGAGACAAAGACGGAUGCUGAUGAUGCUAAUCGCACGCAACACGCGCUGCACCUGUAAUUACCGCACACGGGCAUGGACGAACAUUGAGAGCACUGAUUGGUGGGAACGGGUGGUGAUGAAGGAGUACCAGCCCCGUGAUUGGUUGGAAAAGUUCCGCAUGAGCAAGGACACAUUCUUCUUCUUGUGCAACAAGCUGAAGCCGCGGCUGACGCGGCAGGACACUCACUUCCGCCUGGCGCUGCCGCUGGAGAAACGUGUGGCUGUUGCGCUGUGGCGGCUGGCCACCAACGUGGAGUACCGCACCAUCAGCACGCUGUUCGGUGUGGGCCGCUCCACCGUCUGCAAGUGUGUGCGGGACGUGUGUCACGCCAUUGUGUCCUUGCUCAAGCCUCUGUACCUGCAGCAGCCCAGCGAGCAGGAGAUGGAGGACACGGCGCGCCUCUUCAACACACGCUGGGGCUUUCCGCACUGCAUAGGCGCUAUCGACAGCCUGCACAUCGCCAUCAUCGCGCCCUCCAACAACACAGCUGACUACUGGAACAGCGCGGGCUGGCUGUCGGUGGUGCUGCAGGGUGUGGUUAACGGGCUGGGUCAAUUCUGGGACGUCUGUGCAGGCUUUCCCGGAAGCACCGAGGAUGUGACCAUCCUGCAGAACUCCACACUGUGGGCCACAGCGAGCGAGGGGGGCCUCUCCCCCCAGCCUCCCAGGAGCUUCAUGGGGCGGCCGCUCAGGUACCUGCUGCUGGGUGAUGCAGCCUACCCCCUGCAGAGCUGGCUGCUGAAGUGCUACUCCGACUCCGGCCAGCUCACCCCACGCCAACAAGCCUUCAACUACCGGCUGAGCCGGGCACGCAGCGUCAUCGAGAAUGCCUUCCUGCGGCUGAAGGCCCGCUGGCAGUGUUUGCACAAGCGCAACGACUGCAGCCUGGACCUGCUGCCCACCAUGAUCCUGGCCUGCUGCAUCCUGCACAACGUGUGCGAGGUGCACGGAGACAUCUUCAGCGAGGAGUGGCUGGAGGCCGUCAGCCAAUCAGAGUGCCCGCAGCCCAGCGACACCGUGCCAGCUUCAGCGGAUGACCCUGCCGCAGAGGAAGUGCGUUCCCUCUUUUGUGACUACUUUGAGCAGCAGCAUCAGCAGCAGCAGGACUAAAGACUCUGCUUAGAGAAGCAGCUCUAUCAGGGCUGCAAACUCCUCUCUCAGCAGAGCUGCUCACCCUGACUGAGGUAGUUAGGUACUAUUGCCAUGAAAAUGGAGCCACCUGAGUCCACUAAGCUUUACCAAAAGCAGAACAUGUCUGAGCUCCACAGGCUGAACACAUACUGUGGCACUUCUGUGUCCUCAUCUAAUUUGUUAAUGCCACAUAUCUGCUUGUGUGACCUUGAAUGGCCAGUAGAGGACAGAAGAGGUCUUCUGUCCCUGCGAUAUGUGCAGCAGGACAGCACGGAUACAGCAGUGUGACUGCAUGCACUGAAGAAGCUGGAAACAGCCUUUCAGCACGGCCCUUCUCUCCGGACACACAGGGGAAAUCUGAGGGAUACAGCCGGAAGUUUCUGAGGCUGCUGGGGUUCUAACCUUGAAGACUGGGUUCUCGGCCCCCAAACUGAUGAAGAGGAUGGUGGCUGUGGCCUUGGAGGGGAGCGUGGAGCGGUGGAGGAGAGGAUGACGGACAGCCUCAGCGAGGACAGGGAGGGGGAGGCAGUGCAGAUGCAGGCAGAGAGGCCACAGCAGAGAGCCUCCACCCCCCUGCUCCCCUGCCACACAGCGCCAUAGCAACAGCCACACAGCGCUAUAGCAACAGCCACACCCAGCCAGCACCGGGUGCCCUUCAUCACCACCACAAAACCUUCAGUUACCUUGCCUGCCCUCCCACUACCCCUCCCUCUACUCCCCUCUUACCCACAUUACCGUAAUCCCCCAGCUAUUUACACAGCACAAAUCUCUACGAAAUUCUCACCCUCAAAACAGGACUGUACACUGCCCUAGAGAACAGCCACCUAAUUUUACCAUACAGAAAAUUCAUAGGGAUGACUUCAUGUGUCAAGUGUUUGACCUGAAUUAUUUUUUAUUUUUAUUUGCAUUUAUAAACAGUAUAAUACAUCUAACAAAAGCCACCAUGUGGAUCUUAUUUUAUACACUGAUGUCUGCAGCCACGGGCAGACUUUGCAGCUCUUCAGGUAGUGAUCAUCUGUUUGCUGAUACGCACACAGUGGCCUGGUGUAGGUUCAUUUCUGUAACACCAGUGUUCCCUGAGAUUUCAACCUUCUUCCAUUCUCUUUUACCAGCUGACACUGUUCAAAUUUAGCUUUUGAAAAAAUGUAAAAUUUUUGGAAACAUACGAUGUCUGU
RNA transcript from Megalops cyprinoides (Indo-Pacific tarpon), 2671 nucleotides. It is a transcript of the gene named protein ANTAGONIST OF LIKE HETEROCHROMATIN PROTEIN 1-like, with no coding region annotated. The record is from RefSeq and is a predicted model, not a curated record. NCBI's taxonomy places the organism in Eukaryota, Metazoa, Chordata, Actinopteri, Elopiformes, Megalopidae. The transcript has 4 exons.